CCGGAACCACAGGUUGUAAGACAGGGCGGCCACACUCAAGGCCAGGUCCCUGGGUGGAAGAAAGGGCAGGGGCAGAGCUCAGGGCCCUCCAGCCAGAUCCUAGGCCCAGCAUCCCCCCUCCAUGGAGAGGCUAAGGCCCAGGAAUGUGGGUCAUGGCAUCCUCUUCUCUUCACAGACCUUGCAGGCCACUCACCGACUUCCCAGAUGGCUGAAGUCGCCUAGGCUGAAAUGGCGGCAGCCCUGACGAUGCGCCAUGGCCUGGACCUCCAGGUAGCUGAACGUGCAGUCCACCUGCGGAGCGCCUGGGUCAGCCUGGACUAAGGCCUGAGCCCCACCCUCUUGGGAACCCAGUCCUUUGUGCAGCCUGGAUCUCAGAGCUGGACCUGCCUACACUCCAGUCCUGCCUGCUCCCGGGAGCCCAGGGCUGUUGGAAGGGCAGAGCCCGCAAGGACACCACCACAGAUGCAGCCCUCAUCAAGGAAGCUGCUGGAGGGCAAAGGGGUGGCAGCUGGGCCCUGGGACUCACCCUCAGGGGAAGGCAGGUGUGGAGCAGGUAGGCUCUCCAUCGCAGCAGUGCCUGAGGGGAGAGAGUGUCUGACACCCUGGGCAGGGCAAGAGCCUCUUUCUGCCGGGGCCCCAGUGGCCCUCCCAGCCUCUGCCCCCACCAUACCAGGACAUGACCUUGCUCAGCACCCUCCCGCUCUGGCAGCCAGGUUUUCAGCAGCAGCUCUGCCUCCUUGGGCCACAGGAAUCUGGUGAUCUCGCCUGUGGAAGGGCAGCCUGCUGGGCAACUGGUCCUCCCAUGGAGGUCAAUUCAUGCCCACGGUCUGUAUCGGGCUAGGGGGCCUGGGCUCAUCUGUGGGCCAGCGAGGAAGGAGUGGAGUGGAUUUCGGCCGCCAAGCCCUCCCGAGGAGCAGAGGGAACCGCUUGCCCGGUGCCACGAGGCACUGGGUGGGCCUCUGCUUUCUGGGGCCGCUCCGCUUCCUCCCAGCCAAGAAGGCGACAAGGGCCAAGGCUUACCUCGCAGCUCGCAGGAUAUGCCGUCGGGGGUCUGGGCCAUGCGGCCGGCCCGGCGGCCGGGUGGCCCAAGGAGCUCCGACGAGAAACGGUAGCGGCGGGUGAGCACAGGAAGCCUGGGGCCUCGGCGCGCACUGCAGCCACCUGCUCCUCCUGCAGCGGAAGUCCCCGCCGCGAGCACCAGGGGGCGCUGCCCGCUCGGAGAUCUCUGCGGCCCGCCUCGGUCCGUCCCCUCCAAAGCCCAGCGGGGAAGAUGGACAGCACUUAGGACGCAAGGGGCGUCUGUUCAGAAAGGAGCAUCGGAUCCCUCCUAAACCUGGAGGGCCCUAUCUGUUGUUCCUAACCUGGAGUCCCUCAACCCGUCGGAGAGUCACAAACUGUUGACAGGGUGGAAAAAACACCAGAUGGGCCCCACAGCCUUCUCUGCGGCAGAGGUUCCUUAGCUUUCAUCAAGUUCAAGCUGGGUCAGGGCCAGAAGAUGGGGGUGUACCAUCAGGGGGCAGCCAGCCCCAAGGGCUGCAGGGAGGGGUGGAGUGACUCAUGAGCAAGGCAAUGUAUGUGUGUGUGGGGUCCUCUCAUGUCUGCAUUCUCCCUGAGCUGGAGAGAGUUUGAGGAGGGGGGAACCACUAGGAGAGAGGCCAAGGAGGCCAUCAGGUCAUGGGAUGCAUGAUACCCUAUAAAACACCAGGGACCUAGGGACUUCCCUGGUGGUGCAGUGGUUAAGACUCUGCGCUCCCAAUGCAGCGGGCCCGGGUGCAACCCCGGGUCAGGGAACUAGAUCCCACGUACAUGCCACAACCAAGGAGCCCGCCUGCUGUAACCAAGACCUGG
Molecule: long non-coding RNA, 1848 nt
Organism: Lagenorhynchus albirostris (white-beaked dolphin)
Lineage: Eukaryota; Metazoa; Chordata; Mammalia; Artiodactyla; Delphinidae
Exons: 3
Source: RefSeq, a predicted model, not a curated record